This 421-nucleotide ribosomal RNA is filed under the name uncultured bacterium. Its description in RNAcentral is "bacterial SSU rRNA". It matches the Rfam family "Bacterial small subunit ribosomal RNA", at positions 508 to 927 of the family's 1533-position model. The record is from RNAcentral.
UCAGCAGCCGCGGUAAUACGUAGGGAGCGAGCGUUGUCCGGAUUUAUUGGGCGUAAAGGGCGUGUAGGCGGCUUCUUAAGUCAGGGGUGAAACCCCGGAGCUCAACUCCGGGCCUGCCUCUGAAACUGGGGAGCUUGAGUGCUCUAGAGGGCAGUGGAAUUCCCGGUGUAGCAGUGAAAUGCGUAGAGAUCGGGAGGAACACCAGUGGCGAAGGCGACUGCCUGGGGAGUAACUGACGCUGAGGCGCGAAAGCUGGGGGAGCAAACGGGAUUAGAUACCCCGGUAGUCCCAGCCGUAAACGAUGAGUGCUAGGUGUGAGGGGUAUCGACCCCCCUCGUGCCGGAGUUAACGCAAUAAGCACUCCGCCUGGGGAGUACGGCCGCAAGGUUGAAACUCAAAGGAAUUGACGGGGGCCCGCACA